Molecule: ribosomal RNA, 1473 nt
Filed under: Lactiplantibacillus plantarum
Lineage: Bacteria; Bacillati; Bacillota; Bacilli; Lactobacillales; Lactobacillaceae
Description: bacterial SSU rRNA
Rfam family: Bacterial small subunit ribosomal RNA
Source: RNAcentral
CGGCGUGCCUAAUACAUGCAAGUCGAACGAACUCUGGUAUUGAUUGGUGCUUGCAUCAUGAUUUACAUUUGAGUGAGUGGCGAACUGGUGAGUAACACGUGGGAAACCUGCCCAGAAGCGGGGGAUAACACCUGGAAACAGAUGCUAAUACCGCAUAACAACUUGGACCGCAUGGUCCGAGUUUGAAAGAUGGCUUCGGCUAUCACUUUUGGAUGGUCCCGCGGCGUAUUAGCUAGAUGGUGGGGUAACGGCUCACCAUGGCAAUGAUACGUAGCCGACCUGAGAGGGUAAUCGGCCACAUUGGGACUGAGACACGGCCCAAACUCCUACGGGAGGCAGCAGUAGGGAAUCUUCCACAAUGGACGAAAGUCUGAUGGAGCAACGCCGCGUGAGUGAAGAAGGGUUUCGGCUCGUAAAACUCUGUUGUUAAAGAAGAACAUAUCUGAGAGUAACUGUUCAGGUAUUGACGGUAUUUAACCAGAAAGCCACGGCUAACUACGUGCCAGCAGCCGCGGUAAUACGUAGGUGGCAAGCGUUGUCCGGAUUUAUUGGGCGUAAAGCGAGCGCAGGCGGUUUUUUAAGUCUGAUGUGAAAGCCUUCGGCUCAACCGAAGAAGUGCAUCGGAAACUGGGAAACUUGAGUGCAGAAGAGGACAGUGGAACUCCAUGUGUAGCGGUGAAAUGCGUAGAUAUAUGGAAGAACACCAGUGGCGAAGGCGGCUGUCUGGUCUGUAACUGACGCUGAGGCUCGAAAGUAUGGGUAGCAAACAGGAUUAGAUACCCUGGUAGUCCAUACCGUAAACGAUGAAUGCUAAGUGUUGGAGGGUUUCCGCCCUUCAGUGCUGCAGCUAACGCAUUAAGCAUUCCGCCUGGGGAGUACGGCCGCAAGGCUGAAACUCAAAGGAAUUGACGGGGGCCCGCACAAGCGGUGGAGCAUGUGGUUUAAUUCGAAGCUACGCGAAGAACCUUACCAGGUCUUGACAUACUAUGCAAAUCUAAGAGAUUAGACGUUCCCUUCGGGGACAUGGAUACAGGUGGUGCAUGGUUGUCGUCAGCUCGUGUCGUGAGAUGUUGGGUUAAGUCCCGCAACGAGCGCAACCCUUAUUAUCAGUUGCCAGCAUUAAGUUGGGCACUCUGGUGAGACUGCCGGUGACAAACCGGAGGAAGGUGGGGAUGACGUCAAAUCAUCAUGCCCCUUAUGACCUGGGCUACACACGUGCUACAAUGGAUGGUACAACGAGUUGCGAACUCGCGAGAGUAAGCUAAUCUCUUAAAGCCAUUCUCAGUUCGGAUUGUAGGCUGCAACUCGCCUACAUGAAGUCGGAAUCGCUAGUAAUCGCGGAUCAGCAUGCCGCGGUGAAUACGUUCCCGGGCCUUGUACACACCGCCCGUCACACCAUGAGAGUUUGUAACACCCAAAGUCGGUGGGGUAACCUUUUAGGAACCAGCCGCCUAAGGUGGGACAGAUGAUUAG